UACAUGCUUAGCCUAUAUCUUGAGAUAAACAAAAACAUAACCUUAAUAUCAUUUAGUUUUCUAGCGUGUAAAAUACGUAUAAAUUCUCACUAAAAAUGCUGUUAAACACAAAUUCAUACCUGAAAAAAAGAACAGAACUAGAACCUCACAAUGUGUAUACAGACUUCAGUUCGACUAGUUUAUUUGAUGGCCCAGACAGGUCCUUUAAGAUGGUUAAUAUUGGCUUACCAUCCCCUAUCACAGGGCCUCUACCAGUGUCCUCUGAAAUGAAAGACCCCAUUAAUCAGGUUUUAUUGGAUAACAAAGAAUAUAAAAGCAGCUUAAGACAGAAUCAUUCAAAAAAAUUGCUUAAAGAGGUGAGAAACAUUCAAAGUAAACAAUCCAAUUACAAGUAUAUUCCGAAGAAGUUGCUUAAACUUUAUAAACUAAAGCAGCCCAGUGAGGACUUAAACAUUGAUUACAAUAUGUUUUAUACCAAUGGGAUAUUGGAUACAAUUGUACUGGGGGCUGCAACCUAUUUAGUCUGGAGAAAUUUGGAUGAUUCACUUCAGUUUUGGAACACUACCAACGAGAAUGAUAGUUUUAACAUUUCCUUAUGGACUGACUCUCCAAUCUAUUCAGUUAAAGCAUACAAUAUUGGCUCCAACUCUUUCGUACUACUAAGAAUGAAGUUUUCUAUAAAUUUGAUUCAGGUUUAUGAGUCUACUCGGUUUUCAAAAGUAUUGGAGCAUACAUUUGAUAAAGCUAUUAUUGAUGCUAAGAUAAAUUACACUUUAAAGGAACACUUUGGAGCAAUACACCUGGAUAAUGAGUUUGUGGUGAGGAAAAGUAAAUCUAAAAAGGUCAUGUGUACUUACAAAAGUAAAAAUAAAUUACUCCAAUUUGACUUUUUGAGACAUUCUACAGUUCUUCUAAUGGAUAUUUUUACAGUUACACUAUUUGAUUACAAGGAUAAUAACGUCUUAAGAACUUUUGAACCACAUCUUAUGGCUUGCAAUCAGUUCUGUAACUUUAAAAUUAUUGGUGAUCAACUAAUACUUGCCUCUCGACAUUAUAUUAUUAAGACUGAUAUACCCACUUUUCAAGAUUUUUCUUAUUUUGGUCAUACUCUGGGGCAUGCACCAAUUUUCUUGGAUAUUCUGGAGUCUGGUGAUUGUAACUUUUUGUGUGCAGCAAAUCAUUUUGAAGAUGAAAAAGUAUUCUUUGCAGGGAGAGUAUUAUAUGGUUUACCACAGAAGGUGCCUGGAGUAAAAUCCACUUUAAAAGAAGCAAUCACGAUAAAUUCCAAACUGGUUUUAAAGGAAGCUCUUAAUCAUAGAGUAAAUUUUGCCACUGCUGGUCUAAAAUUUGUUGAAAACAAUGGUAAGAUUUUGCUAUUUUUUGUUAAUUCACUUGGGGAGCUAUGGAGUCAAGAAAUAUCUUUUGAAAAUAUUAAGAAUGAUGAGGGAAUUAACAAAUUUAUGUCCUGGGCAGAAAAAGUAAAUAACCCAGAGCCUCGUUUGACUGUCACCGAUUUUGCUGAAAUGGGCGACUGUUUUUUAUUUCUAAACAGACCAUUAGAAAAAAGCAAAGGAAAAUCCCAUGCAGAAAAGUCCAUACAAAACAUGACAAAGUUUUUGAAUCAAAAUAAGCCAAUAUACAGCAAAAAAAAUAUACAAAGUACUUUUGGAAAAGCAUUUUGUGAAAUUUGGGAAAAUAGUGACUCCGAAUCAGAUCACAAUGGUGAAGAAGUAGUAGAUGAACCUGAAGUACCUUAUUUCGAUAAAGUUAGCAACUGGAUGGAUAAACAUGUUGAGGAUGGUGAAAUUUCAAAUAGCUUUGCUGAAAUAUUUCUUGACACUUAAGGUUAUCAUUAGUUUGAUGUAUUGGUGAGUCUCCAAUGAGAUUAUCUUUGCAGCCCCUCUCGCCUGAACCUUCACUCGAUGCUCCAGUGCUGUGUUGUAUGGUGCGUGCCCAAGGAUCCCAUAAUAGCGACCCGUCAAAAAUAUUAACAUGCAACCGAAUCCUGUUAAGAACAUCAGAAUGUAUGAACACCAAUGUGUUGGACUGUG
Molecule: unclassified non-coding RNA, 2051 nt
Filed under: Anthonomus grandis grandis
Lineage: Eukaryota; Metazoa; Arthropoda; Insecta; Coleoptera; Curculionidae
Description: bTB/POZ domain-containing protein 6-B-like
Source: RNAcentral